Molecule: long non-coding RNA, 1207 nt
Filed under: Homo sapiens (human)
Lineage: Eukaryota; Metazoa; Chordata; Mammalia; Primates; Hominidae
Source: RNAcentral
AAAAAACAGGCAUCAGGCGGGACUCAAACUGCAGACUACAGUUUGCUGACACCUACUUUACCCAAAGCACUGUCUAUAGGUGCCUGUGAUGGUUAAUAGUGUUAACUUGAUUGGAUGGAAGGGUGCAAAGUAUUGUCCCUGGCUGUGUCUAUGAGGGUGUUGCCAGAGGAGAUUAACAUUUGAGUCAGUGGAUUGGGAGAGGAAGACUCACCCUCAGUGUGGGUGGGCACCAUCCAAUCAGCUGCCAGUGAGGCUAGAAAAAGGCAGUCCGGGCGCGGUGGCUCACACCUGUAAGCCCAGCACUUUUGGAGGCCAAGGCAGGUGGAUCACUUGAGGUCAGGAGUUUGAGACCAGCCUGGCCAGCAUGGUGAAAUGCCAUCUCUACUAAAAAUACAAAAAUUAGCCAGCAGUGGUGGCAGGCACCUGUAGUCCCAGCUACUCGGGAGGCUGAGGCAAGAGAAUUGCCGAGACUCUGUCUCAAAAAAAAAAAAAAAAAAAAGGAAGAAGAAAAAAAGCAGGGGGAAGAAGGUGGGAUCAGCUGGCUUGCUAAGUCUUCCCACUCUCAUCUUUCUCUCUUGCUGGAUGCUUCCAGCUCUUGAACAUCAGAUUCCAGGUUCUGCAGCCUUUGGACUCUUGGACUUAGACCAGUGGUUUGCCGGGGGAUCUCAGAUCUUCAGCCACAUACUGAAGUCUGCACUGUUGGCUUCCCUACUUUUGAGGCUUUGGAACUCUGACUGAGCAACUACUGGCUUCGUUGCUCCUCAGCUUGCAGGUGGCCUAUCGUGGGACUUCACCUUGUGAUCACGCUGGAGUACAGUGGCACGAUCACAGCUCACUGCACCCUCAACUUCCCAGGCUCAGGUGAUUCUCCUGCAUCAGCCUCCCGAGUAGCUGGGACUACAGGUGUGGACACAUUGAGAAGUCACUAUCUAUGAACUAGGAAGCAGGAUCUCACCAGACAUCGAAUCUGCUGAUGCCUUCAUCUUGGACUUCUCUCUCAGCCUCCAGAACUGUGAGAAAUAAAGUCCUGUUGUUUAUAAGCCACUCAGUCUAUGGUAUUUUAUUACAGCAAACCGAAUGGGCAAAGACAUGGGUGAAGUUAUCCAGGACCCUCCAAACCAGGCCAUUCACCUUCACCAGCUAAAUUCCACUGAGUGACCCCAGUCAGUGCACAUGGAACAGAAGAGUCACUCAGCUGAGCCCUGCU